RNAcentral lists this non-coding RNA (22 nucleotides) under Arabidopsis thaliana (thale cress). The record is from RNAcentral. Lineage: Eukaryota; Viridiplantae; Streptophyta; Magnoliopsida; Brassicales; Brassicaceae.
UGCGGGUUGAUAUCUCGGAUGC